AACAUGGAUCGGGCAGCCGCGUUCCGACACUGUCGGAAUGAGGAAAGUCCGAACUCCACAGAGCAGGAUGCCCUGCUAACGGCAGGGGACAUCGGGACGAAAGUCCCGGUGGACGGACAGUCUCACAGAAAACAAACCGUCCCGAUUCUAUCGGGAUAAGGGUGAAAAGGCGAGGUAAGAGCUCACCGCCCCGUUGGCAACAACGGGGGCACGAGAAACCCCAUCCGGAGCAAGACCAAGCAAGAAGGGAGAGAUGCUCGUCUCGCGUUCCCGGCGACGGGAACAUACCUUCGGGUAGGUCGCUAGAGUCCGCCGGCGACGGUGGAUCGAGAUAAAUGGUUGCCUCUUCUCUUCCCCACUCCGUGGUGGUCGAGAACAGACAGAAUUCGGCUUACAGAUCCAUGUUGCAU
RNAcentral lists this RNase P RNA (410 nucleotides) under Ignavibacteria bacterium. Its description in RNAcentral is "RNase P RNA component class A". It matches the Rfam family "Bacterial RNase P class A". From Rfam's summary of the family: Ribonuclease P (RNase P) is a ubiquitous endoribonuclease, found in archaea, bacteria and eukarya as well as chloroplasts and mitochondria. Its best characterised activity is the generation of mature 5'-ends of tRNAs by cleaving the 5'-leader elements of precursor-tRNAs. Cellular RNase Ps are ribonucleoproteins. Lineage: Bacteria; Pseudomonadati; Ignavibacteriota; Ignavibacteria. The record is from RNAcentral.